CCUACGGGUGGCUGCAGUGGGGAAUUUUGGACAAUGGGCGCAAGCCUGAUCCAGCCAUUCCGCGUGAGUGAAGAAGGCCUUCGGGUUGUAAAGCUCUUUCGCAAGGGAAGAAAACUUAUCCUCUAACAUAGGAUGAGGUUGACGGUACCUUGAUAAGAAGCACCGGCUAACUACGUGCCAGCAGCCGCGGUAAUACGUAGGGUACGACCGUUAAUAAAGCGUACUGGGGCUGUAUUGUGCGUCAGAUGUUAAAUCCCCGAGCUCAACUUGGGAACUGCGUUUGAAACUACAAGACUAGAAUAGGUCAGAGGGGGGUAGAAUUCCACGUGUAGCAGUGAAAUGCGUAGAGAUGUGGAGGAAUAUCAAUGGCGAAGGCAGCCCCCUGGGAUCAUAUUGACGCUCAUGCACGAAAGCGUGGGGAGCAAACAGGAUUAGAUACCCGAGUAGUC
This 449-nucleotide ribosomal RNA is filed under the name uncultured bacterium. RNAcentral describes it as "partial 16S ribosomal RNA". It matches the Rfam family "Bacterial small subunit ribosomal RNA", at positions 338 to 795 of the family's 1533-position model. The record is from RNAcentral.